RNAcentral lists this ribosomal RNA (488 nucleotides) under uncultured bacterium. RNAcentral describes it as "partial 16S ribosomal RNA". It matches the Rfam family "Bacterial small subunit ribosomal RNA", at positions 28 to 507 of the family's 1533-position model. The record is from RNAcentral.
GACGAACGCUGGCGGCGUGCUUAACACAUGCAAGUCGAACGGAAAGGCCCUGCUUUUGUGGGGUGCUCGAGUGGCGAACGGGUGAGUAACACGUGAGUAACCUGCCCUUGACUUUGGGAUAACUUCAGGAAACUGGGGCUAAUACCGGAUAGGAGCUCCUGCUGCAUGGUGGUGGUUGGAAAGUUUCGGCGGUUGGGGAUGGACUCGCGGCUUAUCAGCUUGUUGGUGGGGUAGUGGCUUACCCAGGCUUUGACGGGUAGCCGGCCUGAGAGGGUGAUCGGCCACACUGGAACUGAGACGCGGUACAGACGCCUACGGGAGGCAGAAGUAGGGAAUCGUCCGCAAUGGGCGAAAGCCUGACGGAGCAACGCCGCGUGAGUGACGAAGGUGUGCGGAUCGUAAAACUGUGUGAUUAGGGAAGAACAAAGGUGUAAGUAACUAUGCACGUCUUGACGGUAACUAAUCAGAAAGCCACGGCUAACUACGUG